Long non-coding RNA from Xyrauchen texanus (razorback sucker), 225 nucleotides. RefSeq lists it as uncharacterized. The record is from RefSeq and is a predicted model, not a curated record. NCBI's taxonomy places the organism in Eukaryota, Metazoa, Chordata, Actinopteri, Cypriniformes, Catostomidae. The transcript has 3 exons.
UCCUGGGAAAAUACGCUUUCAGGAAUCAGAAAUACUUAGUCCGGGAAACAGUUUGUCCAUGUUUGAAACCCCAUUUUGUAAAGUAGGUGUGGGAAUUUGUUAUGACAUUCGGUUUGCAGAGCUUGCACAGAUCUAUGCUAAGAAAGGUUGCCAACUUUUGGUAUAUCCUGGAGCCUUCAAUAUGACUACAGGGCCAGCACACUGGGAGCUGUUGCAGAGGGGAGG